This 497-nucleotide ribosomal RNA is filed under the name uncultured bacterium. RNAcentral's name for it is "partial 16S ribosomal RNA". It matches the Rfam family "Bacterial small subunit ribosomal RNA", at positions 28 to 507 of the family's 1533-position model. The record is from RNAcentral.
GAUGAACGCUGGCGGCGUGCCUAAUACAUGCAAGUCGAGCGAACGGACGAGAAGCUUGCUUCUCUGAUGUUAGCGGCGGACGGGUGAGUAACACGUGGAUAACCUACCUAUAAGACUGGGAUAACUUCGGGAAACCGGAGCUAAUACCGGAUGAUAUUUUGAACCGCAUGGUUCAAAAGUGAAAGACGGUCUUGCUGUCACUUAUAGAUGGAUCCGCGCUGCAUUAGCUAGUUGGUAAGGUAACGGCUUACCAAGGCAACGAUGCAUAGCCGACCUGAGAGGGGGAUCGGCCACACUGGAACUGAGACACGGCCCAGACUCCUACGGGAGGCAGCAGUAGGGAAUUUUCCGCAAUGGGGGAAAGCCUGACGCAGCAACGCCGCGUGAGUGAUGAAGGUCUUCGGAUCGUAAAACUCUGUUAUUAGGGAAGAACAUAUGUGUACGUAACUGUGCACAUCUUGACGGUACCUAAUCAGAAAGCCCCGGCUAACUACGUG